RNAcentral lists this ribosomal RNA (492 nucleotides) under uncultured bacterium. RNAcentral describes it as "partial 16S ribosomal RNA". It matches the Rfam family "Bacterial small subunit ribosomal RNA", at positions 29 to 507 of the family's 1533-position model. The record is from RNAcentral.
AGUGAACGCUGGCGGUAGGCCUAACACAUGCAGGUCGAACGGCAGCACAGUAAGAGCUUGCUCUUACGGGUGGCGAGUGGCGGACGGGUGAGGAAUACAUCGGAAUCUACUUUUUCGUGGGGGAUAACGUAGGGAAACUUACGCUAAUACCGCAUACGACCUACGGGUGAAAGCAGGGGAUCUUCGGACCUUGCGCGAUUGAAUGAGCCGAUGUCGGAUUAGCUAGUUGGCGGGGUAAAGGCCCACCAAGGCGACGAUCCGUAGCUGGUCUGAGAGGAUGAUCAGCCACACUGGAACUGAGACUCGGUCCAGACUCCUACGGGAGGCAGCAGUGGGGAAUAUUGGACAAUGGGCGCAAGCCUGAUCCAGCCAUACCGCGUGGGUGAAGAAGGCCUUCGGGUUGUAAAGCCCUUUUGUUGGGAAAGAAAAGCAGCAGGUUAAUACCCCGCUGUUCUGACGGUACCCAAAGAAUAAGCACCGGCUAACUUCGUG